GCAUGGAUUAGGCAUGCAAGUCGCGCGACAAGGCCCUUUUAGCUUGCUAAAAGGGCUGGAGGAGCGGCGUAAGGGGGAGUAACGCGUGGAUCACCUACCCUCAGGGGCGGGAUAGCGGCGGGAAACUGCCGGUAAUACCGCAUAACAUCUCCGGAUCAAAGCUCCGGCGCCUGGGGACGGGUCCGCGUACCAUUAGCUUUUUGGCGGGGUAAAAGCCCACCAAGGCUGAGAUGGUUAGUGGGCGUGAGAGCGUGGCCCACCACACUGGGACUGAGACACUGCCCAGACACCUACGGGGGGCUGCAGUCGAGAAUCUUUUUCAAUGGACGAAAGUCUGAACAAGCGAUGCCGCGUGCGGGAUGAAGGCCUUCGGGUUUUAAACCGCUGUCAGAGGGGAGCAAAUUUUGAGCGAUCCUCAGAGGAAGCCCGGGCUAAGUUCGUGCCAGCAGCCGCGGUAACACGAACCGGGCGAACGUUAUUCGGAAUUACUGGGCUUAAAGGGGGCGUAGGCGGCGCUAUAAGUCGGGGGUGAAAUCCCACGGCUCAACCGUGGAACUGCGCCCGAUACUGUAGUGCUUGAGGAAGAUAGAGGGGAGCGGAACGAAUGGGGGAGCGGGGAAAUGCGUUGAUAUCAUUCGGAACACCCGUGGCGAAAGCGGCUCACUGGGUCUUUUUUGACGCUGAGGCACGAAAGCUAAAA
Molecule: ribosomal RNA, 700 nt
Filed under: uncultured Planctomycetota bacterium
Lineage: Bacteria; Pseudomonadati; Planctomycetota
Description: bacterial SSU rRNA
Rfam family: Bacterial small subunit ribosomal RNA
Source: RNAcentral